GGGGGUUCCCAGACUGGGCCUUGUUUGGGAUUCUCUGUAUGCUUGAUGAGUUUUGUGUUGUUCCAUAGUGCUUCCAUGUUGGAUGUGUAGCACUCCUCUGCUAGUCCCAUGGACAUCUUCCCCUCUUUUGUCUCUUUUGUGUUCAUGGAUUCUUUCAGCCAGCAUGCGUCCCGUGGGGCCGAUGUGUUUCUUUUCUUGGCCUGUGCUUUUGUCUCUUGCCAGGAUGCUGUGCACUCCUGACUUGCAGGGAGGGGUCCCCAGGUGGAAUCUGCUGAUUUUGAUGAGGCUUAGUAGGGUUGUAGAGUGG
Molecule: long non-coding RNA, 307 nt
Filed under: Androctonus crassicauda
Lineage: Eukaryota; Metazoa; Arthropoda; Arachnida; Scorpiones; Buthidae
Source: RNAcentral